This 468-nucleotide ribosomal RNA is filed under the name uncultured bacterium. RNAcentral's name for it is "partial 16S ribosomal RNA". It matches the Rfam family "Bacterial small subunit ribosomal RNA", at positions 28 to 507 of the family's 1533-position model. The record is from RNAcentral.
GACGAACGCUGGCGGCGUGCUUAACACAUGCAAGUCGAACGGAAAGGCCCUGCUUUUGUGGCGUGCUCGAGUGGCGAACGGGUGAGUAACACGUGAGUAACCUGCCCUUGACUUUGGGAUAACUUCAGGAAACUGGGGCCAAUACCGGAUAGGAGCUCCUGCUGCAUGGUGGGGGUUGGAAAGUUUCGGCGGUUGGGGAUGGACUCGCGGCUUAUCAGCUUGUUGGUGGGGUAGUGGCUUACCAAGGCUUUGACGGGUAGCCGGCCUGAGCGGGUGACCGGCCACAUUGGGACUGAGAUGCGGCCCAGACUCCUACGGGGGGCAGCAGUGGGGAAUAUUGCACAAUGGGCGGAAGCCUGAUGCAGCAACGCCGCGUGCGGGAUGACGGCCUUCGGGUUGUAAACCGCUUUCGCCUGUGACGAAGCGUGAGUGACGGUAAUGGGUAAAGAAGCACCGGCUAACUACGUG